GACGAACGCUGGCGGCGUGCUUAACACAUGCAAGUCGAGCGGUAAGGCCCUUUCGGGGGUACACGAGCGGCGAACGGGUGAGUAACACGUGGGUGACCUGCCUUUAGCUCUGGGAUAAGCCUGGGAAACUGGGUCUAAUACCGGAUACGACUCCGCGGUGCAUGCUGUGGGGUGGAAAGCCUUGUGCGGCUGGAGAUGGGGCCCGCGGCCUAUCAGCUUGUUGGUGGGGUGAUGGCCUACCAAGGGCGACGACGGGUAGCCGGCCUGAGAGGGCGACCGGCCACACUGGGACUGAGACACGGCCCAGACUCCUACGGGAGGCAGCAGUGGGGAAUCUUGCGCAAUGGGCGAAAGCCUGACGCAGCGACGCCGCGUGAGGGAUGACGGCCU
Molecule: ribosomal RNA, 390 nt
Filed under: uncultured bacterium
Lineage: Bacteria
Description: bacterial SSU rRNA
Rfam family: Bacterial small subunit ribosomal RNA
Source: RNAcentral